GGCCUGCCUAAUUUUUGUGAAAUUUGUUGAAAAAUAGCGCCCUUUCCAUUCCGCCAUUUCGCAUCCCGACUUAUCUCCUUCAUCACCAAAAACGCUAGAAACCCUAGUCAGAUCAUUUCAUCCUUCCCGGUUCCCACCAAUACCGUAGCAAAAUCAAUGUCGUCUCUCCUUUUCCGAACUCCUAAUUAAUGCCUUCACUUCUCUCGUACGGGGCCAAACACGGUGAAAAUUGAAAAAUCUCGAGUCAUCAUUAUCUCUUCUCCUUACCACCACCGGACCACCAUCAAAAAAGCACUACGACCUCUCUUCCGCCGCGCUUCAAUUGGCCAACAAUUGACCAUGCAUACUAAUUCAGAGACACCAGAGGUGUAUCUUGCUACAACUUCAUUUUUAGUAGGAACAUUCAUCACUUGCCAAAUGCUUGUAGUGAGAAAAGGAUAUAAGAUGGUUUCCAACAGCAGCAACAACAAUCACUGCCACAUCUAGUGCAGAGCCUUUAAGAAGAGGCUUAAAAACUAUUUCUUGAAGAAGGAAAGAGAUCCACUUGAUACCCACCUACUACAUCUGGAUAGGGCUACAAUGCAAAACUUCAAGGAGAGGGUAUCGUUAUAGGAAUCGUAAAAAGGGCGAGCUUAAAGCUUCUAAAGAAUCCUGCCAUACUAGGGGCACAUGGGUAUCGGGGCAAGAAACCUUAGUGGGAACAAGAGAUUGCAACAUCCUACUUUUAAUGAUAUAUGUGAUAAUAGAAGAUAUAACUGCUAUGCUCGAUGUUUGGGAUGAUGGGAUCAUGGUGAUGUUCUUUCUUUAAUACAAGUUUUGUGAUGUAGUAACAACUUACCUAAUUAAUGUUUUUUUUUUUUAUAUUUUUUUGUAAGAGAUGUUCUUUUGUUAAUAUUGUUUUUAUUAAUGCCUGUUAUGGUUAUGUACUUGUUUUAUUUGGCAUGUCCACAUUUACAAAAUAUUUCAUC
This is a long non-coding RNA of Lactuca sativa (garden lettuce), 968 nucleotides long. RefSeq lists it as uncharacterized. The record is from RefSeq and is a predicted model, not a curated record. Lineage: Eukaryota; Viridiplantae; Streptophyta; Magnoliopsida; Asterales; Asteraceae.